This 2174-nucleotide long non-coding RNA is filed under the name Jatropha curcas. RNAcentral describes it as "long non-coding RNA (JCUR_LNC002147)". The record is from RNAcentral. Lineage: Eukaryota; Viridiplantae; Streptophyta; Magnoliopsida; Malpighiales; Euphorbiaceae.
UAUAAUCAAUUUAUUUACUUUUAUUUAAUUUUCGGCAUUAUUAAAUACAAUCUUUCACACAUUAUGUAUAAUCACAUAUCAUACUCUCAUAAUACUUUUUACAUUAUAGCUUACAUACAUUCUAUACUAAUAUCAUUCACAAAAGUACUAUAAAGCAACUAAAGUUCAUAUAACUUAUCAACAACUUAUAAUAUCUAACAAUUAUUUACAUUAUUCACGUGCUUCUUGUUGGAAGAAGGAAAUUAAUAAGCGGACGGAUUUGAAUCACCUCUAGCUGAAACCAGAAACGCUUGAGUGAGUCCUCAACUCAGUGAAAUUAUAGUGUCUUAUCGGUAGCAUGUACACAGAAAAGUAUCUCAAGGUUCAAUAUUUAUAAUAACACAGGAUGGUAGUAUCAUUAUAACUAGUCAAUAGAAAUACGUCUAUAUAAAAGGAUUCAUAGUAAUCGGAUCAAUAUCACAAAGGAAAUAUCAAUAAUAUGACAGAUAAUCACAUAGCUAGCACUGAAGAAAACAUAUCACUAUGUACAUUUCAGUGCUACCACACAUUACACACUUUAGGGCAGUAACUUCUCCCGUUAUUUAUAAAUCUCUAUAUGCACAUAGCCUGAUAUAACCCCCAUCAAGUUGGGAUUCUAUCAUAUUGGCUAAACAAAUGGCUUGGUACAAUCAAAUAGGCCUAAAGGCCAAAUCAAGUUGGGAUUCUAUCAUAUUGGCUAAACAAAUGGCUUGGUACAAUCAAAUAGGCCUAAAGGCCAAAUAGAUUUCAUAAUUCACAAUCUCAAUAUCACAAUUAACAAACGGUUUCAAAUACCAAUAAUGGUAUGCAUUUGAUUAAAAGUUCCAAUGCAACAUGGAAAGGUUAGACACUAUAACUCACCUUGAAAGCGAGAAUUCAGUUCCUCUCGAUCACUUAUAAUUUCAAAACGGUUUCAUGGUAAUCCUUGACCUAUAUUCACAUUUACACAUAUAUAGCACACUUAGUUUUGUUUUUAGCUCUUUAUAAACCACAAAGUUCCUUAAUAUUCUUAUUCAUUAAAUUCGCAUUUGAAAUUUUAGGGUCAGAAAAUAAACAUAUUGAGCUUAAUUGUCAUUCAUUUUAUACUUAUGUUCAUGGUUAAAUCAUCUAUAUUUAAGUUUGCUCAAUUUAGUGCAAGCUUAGUGAAACACAGAAUUUUCAGCAUGAGUCACUUGCAUUCACUUGACUAUAUUUUCAUUUCUGAAAGUCCUUUUGCUAUGAAAUUUUUACACAAUAUUCCCAACAUCUCAAGGCACUUCUGCAUUAAAUUUCAUGAAUUUUAGGAUUCAUUUACCUAUUCAAAUAAUCUAAUUAUAGAACCAGAAUUUUCAGGUUUCACAUUCUGAGUAGUCUGCUUUCUUUUAUUAAUAUCUCCAUUUUCUCUUAUCAUUUGGACUUUCAUUUUUAACACAACCUUCUUAACAUCUUAGGCUACAUAUCUGUAAAAUUUCAUAAUUUUUAAAUUUUAUUUGCAUGGUCAAACAACCUAAACACAAUAGUGAAAUCUGUUUAGUGUGUCACACUGAACAGUCUGUAUUCACUUAGCUAUAAAUUCUUUUCCUUUCAUCUUAUGAACUUGUCCUUUUACCAAAACUUUGCCAACAUCCCAGCCUAGCUCUCUAUAAAAUUUCAUUAAUUUUGAAAAGAUGAUUUAUAUAUUAAACUUAACAAACUACGGUGGCUGAAUUGAAGCAGCUUCAUUGAGACAGUUUUGGAAAUUGUAGUUUCUAGCUUUUACAUGAUCAAUUCCUUUCAAUCAAAACCAAUUUCUAGCAUCCUAAUUGAUCAAUUAAUAUGUUUAAAAGAUAAUUUUGAGUUUUGAUUCAUCAAAUUAAAGAUUUAAGCUUAGGAAAAUAUGAAAAUCAAAGGCACAAUUUGAAUUUCAUACCUUUCUUUUAAUUUCUUUUGUUUUCUCUUCUCUUGUUUCUUUAUUAGCUUCACUUUUCCUUUGAUAAUAUUAUUUUCACUAGGUAUUUUUGCAGUGAAUGAACUCUAGCAAAUGUUAGAAUGAUAGAAAGAAGAAGGAGAAAGGAGAAGCCUAUGUUGGGCACGAAGAGGUGAAGAGGAGGGUGUUGUCUCCUAAUACAUGUGUCCUUUUUACUAAAGAGAUUAUUCACCUAUACACUCGCCUCCUUUAUCUUAACUAAAGAGGUGAG